AAGGUAGCAUAAUAAUUUGCCUCUUAAUUAGAGGCUAGUAUGAAUGGAGACACGAGAGUGUAGCUGUCUCGUAGCAAACUAUAAAAACUAAACCUCAAGUGAAGAUGCUUGAAUUAUACUAAAGGACAAAAAGACCCUGUUGAGCUUUACCUACAAUAAAUAAAUAAUUUACUAAGGUUUAGUUGGGGCGACUGAGGAAGAAAAAAAUCUUCUUUAACCUACAGACCAAUACGUCUCAUCAAAGAUCUACAACAGUAAUCUAUAGAAUAGCUACCACAGGGAUAACAGACCAAUUCUCUUUAAGAGCUCAAAUUGACAAGAGAGUUUGGCACCUCGAUGUUGGCUUAAAAUUUCCCCUUGGUGCAGCAGCCUGGAUAGGUGGGUUUGUUCAACCCUUAAAAUUUUACGUGAUCUGAGUUCAGACCGG
This 427-nucleotide ribosomal RNA is filed under the name Lumbrineris sp. NHM 1741. RNAcentral's name for it is "partial large subunit ribosomal RNA". It matches the Rfam family "Bacterial large subunit ribosomal RNA", at positions 1953 to 2619 of the family's 2925-position model. Lineage: Eukaryota; Metazoa; Annelida; Polychaeta; Eunicida; Lumbrineridae. The record is from RNAcentral.